RNAcentral lists this ribosomal RNA (500 nucleotides) under uncultured bacterium. Its description in RNAcentral is "partial 16S ribosomal RNA". It matches the Rfam family "Bacterial small subunit ribosomal RNA", at positions 899 to 1397 of the family's 1533-position model. The record is from RNAcentral.
ACUCAAAGGAAUUGACGGGGGCCCGCACAAGCGGCGGAGCAUGCGGAUUAAUUCGAUGCGACGCGAAGAACCUUACCUGGGUUUGACAUGCAUGGUGUACCGGCGGAGACGUCGGGUCCCUUCGGGGGUCGUGCACAGGUGGUGCAUGGCUGUCGUCAGCUCGUGUCGUGAGAUGUUGGGUUAAGUCCCGCAACGAGCGCAACCCUUGUCCCAUGUUGCCAGCGAGUCGUGUCGGGGACUCAUGGGAGACUGCCGGGGUCAACUCGGAGGAAGGUGGGGAUGACGUCAAGUCAUCAUGCCCCUUAUGUCCAGGGCUUCACGCAUGCUACAAUGGCCGGUACAGAGGGCGGCGAUGCCGUGAGGCGGAGCGAAUCCCUUCAAAGCCGGUCUCAGUUCGGAUCGGGGUCUGCAACUCGACCCCGUGAAGUCGGAGUCGCUAGUAAUCGCAGAUCAGCAACGCUGCGGUGAAUACGUUCCCGGGCCUUGUACACACCGCCCGU